AGAGUUUGAUCCUGGCUCAGGACGAACGCUGGCGGCGUGCCUAACACAUGCAAGUCGAACGGAGUGUUGCGCUGAACGGAAGGUAGCUUGCUAUUGGAAGUUCUUGUAACACUUAGUGGCGGACGGGUGAGUAACACGUAAGCAAUCUGGCCCAUACAGGGGGAUAACAAUGAGAAAUCAUUGCUAAUACCGCAUAAGACCACAACACCGCAUGGUGAAGGGGUCAAAGGAGCAAUCCGGUAUGGGAUGAGCUUGCGUCCCAUUAGUUAGUUGGCGGGGUAACGGCCCACCAAGACGACGAUGGGUAGCCGGACUGAGAGGUUGAUCGGCCACACUGGGACUGAGACACGGCCCAGACUCCUACGGGAGGCAGCAGUGGGGAAUAUUGGGCAAUGGGGGAAACCCUGACCCAGCAACGCCGCGUGAAGGAAGAAGGUCUUCGGAUUGUAAACUUCUGUCUUUAGGGACGAAACAAAUGACGGUACCUAAAGAGGAAGCCCCGGCUAACUACGUGCCAGCAGCCGCGGUAAUACGUAGGGGGCGAGCGUUGUCCGGAAUUAUUGGGCGUAAAGGGCGCGUAGGCGGAGAUAUGUGUCAGUUGUGAAAACUAUAGGCUUAACUUGUAGGUUGCAGCUGAAACUGUAUCCCUUGAGUGCAGGAGAGGAAAGCGGAAUUCCCAGUGUAGCGGUGGAAUGCGUAGAUAUUGGGAGGAACACCAGUGGCGAAGGCGGCUUUCUGGCCUGUAACUGACGCUGAGGCGCGAGAGCGUGGGGAGCAACCAGGAUUAGAUACCCUGGUAGUCCACCCCGUAAACGAUGGAUACUAGGUGUAGGUGUCCAUAGGCAUCUGUGCCGGAGCAAACCCAAUAAGUAUCCCGCCUGGGGAGUACGGCCGCAAGGGUUGAAACUCAAAGGAAUUGACGGGGGCCCGCACAAGCAGCGGAGCAUGUGGUUUAAUUCGAAGCAACGCGAAGAACCUUACCAAGGCUUGACAU
This 994-nucleotide ribosomal RNA is filed under the name uncultured bacterium. Its description in RNAcentral is "bacterial SSU rRNA". It matches the Rfam family "Bacterial small subunit ribosomal RNA", at positions 8 to 987 of the family's 1533-position model. The record is from RNAcentral.